This is a long non-coding RNA of Cyprinus carpio (common carp), 80 nucleotides long. RefSeq lists it as uncharacterized. The record is from RefSeq and is a predicted model, not a curated record. The transcript has 3 exons. NCBI's taxonomy places the organism in Eukaryota, Metazoa, Chordata, Actinopteri, Cypriniformes, Cyprinidae.
UUGUGCGUAUGUGCCACAGCCCUGUGUUUGCCAACAUCUUCACUCACAGGCAAUACAGAGAUUGAUGUGGAUAAUGGAAA